UGGUGGUGGUGGUGGUGGUGGUGGUGGUGGUGGUGGUGGUGGUGGUGGAGAGACAUCAUAAAGCAUACGCUUUCAAAACAUUUCUCCAAUGCACAAAAGCGCGCUGCAUCAUCACCAUCAUCGCCAUCAUCAUCAGCAACA
This 141-nucleotide microRNA precursor is filed under the name Anopheles merus. Its description in RNAcentral is "microRNA mir-598". The record is from RNAcentral. Lineage: Eukaryota; Metazoa; Arthropoda; Insecta; Diptera; Culicidae.